GACGAACGCUGGCGGCGUGCUUAACACAUGCAAGUCGAACGGAAAGGCCCUGCUUUUGUGGGGUGCUCGAGUGGCGAACGGGUGAGUAACACGUGAGUAACCUGCCCUUGACUUUGGGAUAACUUCAGGAAACUGGGGCUAAUACCGGAUAGGAGCUCCUGCUGCAUGGGGGGGGUUGGAAAGUUUCGGCGGUUGGGGAUGGACUCGCGGCUUAUCAGCUUGUUUGUGGGGUAGUGGCUUACCAAGGCUUUGACGGGUAGCCGGCCUGAGAGGGUGACCGGCCACAUUGGGCCUGAGAUACGGCCCAGACUCCUACGGGAGGCAGCAGUGGGGAAUAUUGCACAAUGGGCGGAAGCCUGAUGCAGCAACGCCGCGUGCGGGAUGACGGCCUUCGGGUUGUAAACCGCUUUCGCCUGUGACGAAGCGUGAGUGACGGUAAUGGGUAAAGAAGCACCGGCUAACUACGUG
This 468-nucleotide ribosomal RNA is filed under the name uncultured bacterium. RNAcentral describes it as "partial 16S ribosomal RNA". It matches the Rfam family "Bacterial small subunit ribosomal RNA", at positions 28 to 507 of the family's 1533-position model. The record is from RNAcentral.